UCUAGAGGCUUCGGCAAUGGGGGCAACCCUGACCGAGCGACGCCGCGUGUGGGAUUGAAGGCCUUCGGGUCGUAAACCACUGUCAUGAGGGAAGAAUGCCCGGAUGGCGAAUCCGGGAGAGACGGUACCUCAAGAGGAAGCCCCGGCUAACUCCGUGCCAGCAGCCGCGGUAAUACGGAGGGGGCAAGCGUUGUUCGGAUUUACUGGGCGUAAAGGGUGUGUAGGCGGCCGCAUAAGUCUGGUGGGAAAUCUUCACUGCUUAACGGGAAGAGGUCACUGGAAACUGUGUGGCUCGAGAAUGGUAGAGGCCAGCGGAAUUCCUGGUGUAGCGGUGGAAUGUGUAGAUAUCAGGAAGAACACCUGUGGCGAAGGCGGCUGGCUGGGCCAUCACUGACGCUGAGACACGAAAGCGUGGGGAGCAAACG
Molecule: ribosomal RNA, 425 nt
Filed under: uncultured prokaryote
Description: bacterial SSU rRNA
Rfam family: Bacterial small subunit ribosomal RNA
Source: RNAcentral